This 253-nucleotide ribosomal RNA is filed under the name uncultured bacterium. RNAcentral's name for it is "partial 16S ribosomal RNA". It matches the Rfam family "Bacterial small subunit ribosomal RNA", at positions 524 to 776 of the family's 1533-position model. The record is from RNAcentral.
UACGUAGGUGGCAAGCGUUGUCCGGAUUUAUUGGGUUUAAAGGGUGCGUAGGCGGUUUUGUAAGUCAGUGGUGAAAUCUCGGAGCUUAACUCCGCAACUGCCAUUGAUACUGCUUAGCUUGAAUCAAGUAGAGGUGGAUGGAAUAUUACAUGUAGCGGUGAAAUGCUUAGAUAUGUAAUAGAACACCGAUUGCGAAGGCAGUUCACUAUGCUUGUAUUGACACUGAGGCACGAAAGCGUGGGGAUCAAACAGG